UUACGGCUAUAUAAGGUUGAAAUAUCGGUUACCGUACGCUCACCGAAGCUAAGCAAGGUUGAGCCUGAUCAGUACCUAAAUGGGUGACCUCUUGGGAAUAGCAGCUGCUGCAGG
This is a non-coding RNA of Acanthosepion pharaonis, 114 nucleotides long. The record is from the annotation of a GenBank genome assembly. Lineage: Eukaryota; Metazoa; Mollusca; Cephalopoda; Sepiida; Sepiidae.